AUUGAACGCUGGCGGCAGGCCUAACACAUGCAAGUCGAGCGGAUGAAGGGAGCUUGCUCCUGGAUUCAGCGGCGGACGGGUGAGUAAUGCCUAGGAAUCUGCCUGGUAGUGGGGGAUAACGUCCGGAAACGGGCGCUAAUACCGCAUACGUCCUGAGGGAGAAAGUGGGGGAUCUUCGGACCUCACGCUAUCAGAUGAGCCUAGGUCGGAUUAGCUAGUUGGUGGGGUAAAGGCCUACCAAGGCGACGAUCCGUAACUGGUCUGAGAGGAUGAUCAGUCACACUGGAACUGAGACACGGUCCAGACUCCUACGGGAGGCAGCAGUGGGGAAUAUUGGACAAUGGGCGAAAGCCUGGUCCAGCCAUGCCGCGUGUGUGAAGAAGGUCUUCGGAUUGUAAAGCACUUUAAGUUGGGAGGAAGGGCAGUAAGUUAAUACCUUGCUGUUUUGACGUUACCAACAGAAUAAGCACCGGCUAACUUCAUG
RNAcentral lists this ribosomal RNA (484 nucleotides) under uncultured bacterium. RNAcentral describes it as "partial 16S ribosomal RNA". It matches the Rfam family "Bacterial small subunit ribosomal RNA", at positions 30 to 507 of the family's 1533-position model. The record is from RNAcentral.